Salmo salar (Atlantic salmon) is the source of this 1826-nucleotide non-coding RNA. NCBI's taxonomy places the organism in Eukaryota, Metazoa, Chordata, Actinopteri, Salmoniformes, Salmonidae. The record is from RefSeq and is a predicted model, not a curated record.
UACAGGAUGUCCUGGUCCUCUAUAGGUAGGGGCUGUUACUUCCUGGUCCUCUAUAGGUAGGUGCUGUUACUUCCUGGUCCUCUAUAGGUAGGUGCUGUUACUUCCUGUUACAGGGCCCUUCCUGGUCCUCUACAGGUAGGUGCUGUUACUUCCUGUUACAGGGCCCUUCCUGGUCCUCUAUAGGUAGGAACUGUUACUUCCUGUUACAGGGCCCUUCCUGGUCCUCUACAGGUAGGUGCUGUUACAGGAUGGUCCUCUAUAGGUAGGGGCUGUUACAGGAUGGUCCUCUAUAGGUAGGUGCUGUUACAGGAUGGUCCUCUAUAGGUAGGUGCUGUUACUUCCUGGUCCUCUAUAGAUAGGUGCUGUUACUUCCUGGUCCUCUAUAGGUAGGUGCUGUUACAGGAUGGUCCUCUAUAGGUAGGUGCUGUUACAGGAUGGUCCUCUAUAGGUAGGUGCUGUUACAGGAUGGUCCUCUAUAGGUAGGUGCUGUUACAGGAUGGUCCUCUAUAGGUAGGUGCUGUUACAGGAUGGUCCUCUAUAGGUAGGUGCUGUUACAGGAUGGUCCUCUAUAGGUAGGUGCUGUUACAGGAUGGUCCUCUAUAGGUAGGUGCUGUUACAGGAUGGUCCUCUAUAGGUAGGGGCUGUUACUUCCUGUUACAGGGCCCUUCCUGGUCCUCUACAGGUAGGUGCUGUUACUUCCUGGUCCUCUAUAGGUAGGUGCUGUUACAGGAUGGUCCUCUAUAGGUAGGUGCUGUUACUUCCUGGUCCUCUAUAGAUAGGUGCUGUUACAGGAUGGUCCUCUAUAGGUAGGUGCUGUUACAGGAUGGUCCUCUAUAGGUAGGUGCUGUUACAGGAUGGUCCUCUAUAGGUAGGUGCUGUUACUUCCUGGUCCUCUAUAGAUAGGUGCUGUUACAGGAUGGUCCUCUAUAGGUAGGUGCUGUUACAGGAUGGUCCUCUAUAGGUAGGUGCUGUUACAGGACGUCCUGGUCCUCUAUAGGUAGGUGCUGUUACAGGACGUCCUGGUCCUCUAUAGGUAGGUGCUGUUACAGGAUGGUCCUCUAUAGGUAGGUGCUGUUACAGGAUGGUCCUCUAUAGGUAGGUGCUGUUACAGGAUGGUCCUCUAUAGGUAGGUGCUGUUACAGGAUGGUCCUCUAUAGGUAGGUACUGUUACAGGAUGGUCCUCUAUAGGUAGGUGCUGUUACAGGAUGGUCCUCUAUAGGUAGGUGCUGUUACAGGAUGGUCCUCUAUAGGUAGGUGCUGUUACAGGAUGGUCCUCUAUAGGUAGGUGCUGUUACAGGAUGGUCCUCUAUAGGUAGGUGCUGUUACAGGAUGGUCCUCUAUAGGUAGGUGCUGUUACAGGAUGGUCCUCUAUAGGUAGGUGCCGUUACAGGAUUGUCCUCUAUAGGUAGGUGCUGUUACAGGAUGGUCCUCUAUAGGUAGGUGCUGUUACAGGAUGGUCCUCUAUAGGUAGGUGCUGUUACAGGAUGGUCCUCUAUAGGUAGGUACUGUUACAGGAUGGUCCUCUAUAGGUAGGUGCUGUUACAGGAUGGUCCUCUAUAGGUAGGUGCUGUUACAGGAUGGUCCUCUAUAGGUAGGUGCUUUUACAGGAUGGUCCUCUAUAGGUAGGUGCUGUUACAGGAUGGUCCUCUAUAGGUAGGUGCUGUUACAGGAUGGUCCUCUAUAGGUAGGUGCUGAUACAGGACGUCCUGGUCCUCUAUAGGUAGGUGCUGUUACAGGAUGGUCCUCUAUAGGUAGGUGCUGUUACAGGAUGGUCCUCUAUAGGUAGGUGCUGUUACAGGAUGGUCCUCUAUAGGUAGGUGCUGUUA